CCUACGGGAGGCAGCAGUGGGGAAUUUUGGACAAUGGGCGCAAGCCUGAUCCAGCAAUGCCGCGUGCAGGAUGAAGGCCUUCGGGUUGUAAACUGCUUUUGUACGGAACGAAACGGUUCUUUCUAAUAAAGAGAGCUAAUGACGGUACCGUAAGAAUAAGCACCGGCUAACUACGUGCCAGCAGCCGCGGUAAUACGUAGGGUGCGAGCGUUAAUCGGAAUUACUGGGCGUAAAGCGUGCGCAGGCGGUUAUAUAAGACAGAUGUGAAAUCCCCGGGCUCAACCUGGGACCUGCAUUUGUGACUGUAUGGCUAGAGUACGGUAGAGGGGGAUGGAAUUCCGCGUGUAGCAGUGAAAUGCGUAGAUAUGCGGAGGAACACCGAUGGCGAAGGCAAUCCCCUGGACCUGUACUGACGCUCAUGCACGAAAGCGUGGGGAGCAAACAGGAUUAGAUACCCUGGUAGUCCACGCCCUAAACGAUGUCAACUGGUUGUUGGGUCUUCACUGACUCAGUAACGAAGCUAACGCGUGAAGUUGACCGCCUGGGGAGUACGGCCGCAAGGUUGAAACUUAAAUGAAAUUGACGG
This 586-nucleotide ribosomal RNA is filed under the name uncultured bacterium. Its description in RNAcentral is "bacterial SSU rRNA". It matches the Rfam family "Bacterial small subunit ribosomal RNA", at positions 338 to 916 of the family's 1533-position model. The record is from RNAcentral.